UAUUAUUAAAACUUGAAGACUUUAUUUGCCAGGCUGAAGAUAGAGCAAAUCAAGCUGAGGCAAAGGUAGUAGAACUGGAGAAAGAGAUUGAUAACUUGGAUGCUGAACUGGAACAGUCCAAGAAUGAAUAUGCCAAAGUGAAAGAGGAACUGGAUGCAACAAUGCAGGAGUUGAGUGAAAUGUAAAAA
This is a long non-coding RNA of Stylophora pistillata, 188 nucleotides long. The record is from RefSeq and is a predicted model, not a curated record. Lineage: Eukaryota; Metazoa; Cnidaria; Anthozoa; Scleractinia; Pocilloporidae.